Penaeus monodon (black tiger shrimp) is the source of this 1172-nucleotide long non-coding RNA. RefSeq lists it as uncharacterized. The transcript has 4 exons. NCBI's taxonomy places the organism in Eukaryota, Metazoa, Arthropoda, Malacostraca, Decapoda, Penaeidae. The record is from RefSeq and is a predicted model, not a curated record.
ACAGAGCUCAGCCUUGGGGUAAACAUUUCUUGGACUUAUCAUAUGAAGUCGUAUUCUUAGAUAUUUCGAUUAUAUUGUAGUACAAUAAUGUGAUCCCCUUGUACAAUAUGACCUGUAAAGCAAACAAUAGGAAUACCCUUAUUUUAACUUGUGGGAGAGAAACUUUUUGUGACUUGUAGGUUGUGUGUUAAGUUUAUCAUAUGUAUUAUGUUACUCACUGCACAGACUUUUUUUUCCCUUCAUAAUAUAUUGGGCACCUGUGGCACACACUCACUGUCACACGUAUUUUCUCUUAUUCGCUUUCCUUCUAAGAUGGUGCUCUCAUACUUGAUUAAAUAUAUUCCUAUAUGUUUACUUCUUAGGCUUGAAGAGAUGAGGUGGUCUUUGUGUGUUUUUGACAUUUUUGAUAAUAAGAUUGGGUCGAGGGUGUUUAAACGGUCAGUAUUGUGAAACCAUAUAGCUUAUAAAAUUAGUAUGGGACCAGGAUCUAGCAUUUUUUGGAGUGAUAAUAAUACAGGUAGAUAGAGAAGAAAAUUCUGAUUCAAAAGUAUUUUUGCUUAAACUAAAGGAUAUGUUAAAAAUAUCAUUUUCAAUUACAGAUUUUUAAGAGCACUUGGUUUUGCAAAAUAAAUGGAAAUUGAAACGGACUUGAUCUCAGACAAUUUUUACAAGAGUGAUAUGGUAUCCUGUCACCUGGAAGGAACAGUAUUUCAGACAACUUACAUUCUCCUAACUUAAGCUGAUUGGCGCUGCCUCUGCGACUUUCAGUAUUCCAGUAAAGGCCAACGAACAUUCUUCGACUGGCAAGAUAGAGCUUGAACAUAAACCUUUCUGGUAAUACAUCGCUCUUUUUUGCCAGAAUAUACUUGGAAGAGUUGCUGGCUUUUACAGAGGCCAUGUUGAUUGCUUUUCACUGUGACACUAUCAAAGUCAGAAUUGUCCUGGUAUAAGCUAUCUGUCGAAUUGCAGGGCAGGUACGAAGAGGGUGUCCUGCGGGGAAGGCGCGUAGGGGUCACAGAUGCUCCCAACCUUGACUCUCUGGUUUUUGAUGUAAGACCGGAGAAAAAAUACGAGAAUAGAAGUGGCGGCGGCUUUGUCUCUGGAGUCUAUGAGGUCAGUAACAAGACUCUUUUAGAGAGGGCAAGACGGUUCGGUGUGACGGACCCGCCCAA